This 497-nucleotide ribosomal RNA is filed under the name uncultured bacterium. RNAcentral describes it as "partial 16S ribosomal RNA". It matches the Rfam family "Bacterial small subunit ribosomal RNA", at positions 28 to 507 of the family's 1533-position model. The record is from RNAcentral.
GAUGAACGCUGGCGGCGUGCCUAAUACAUGCAAGUCGAGCGAACAGACGAGGAGCUUGCUCCUCUGACGUUAGCGGCGGACGGGUGAGUAACACGUGGAUAACCUACCUAUAAGACUGGGAUAACUUCGGGAAACCGGAGCUAAUACCGGAUAAUAUAUUGAACCGCAUGGUUCAAUAGUGAAAGACGGUGUUGCUGUCACUUAUAGAUGGAUCCGCGCCGCAUUAGCUAGUUGGUAAGGUAACGGCUUACCAAGGCAACGAUGCGUAGCCGACCUGAGAGGGUGGUCGGCCACACUGGAACUGAGACACGGUCCAGACUCCUACGGGAGGCAGCAGUAGGGAAUCUUCCGCAAUGGGCGAAAGCCUGACGGAGCAACGCCGCGUGAGUGAUGAAGGUCUUCGGAUCGUAAAACUCUGUUAUUAGGGAAGAACAAAUGUGUAAGUAACUAUGCACGUCUUGACGGUACCUAAUCAGAAAGCCACGGCUAACUACGUG